UACGGAGGGAGCGAGCGUUGUCCGAAGUUACUGGGCGUAAAGCGCGCGUAGGCGGGGGAUUAAGUGAGAAGUGAAAGGCUGGGGCUCAACCCCAUGCAGUGCUUCUCAUACUGGUCCUCUUGAGGGCGGUAGAGAGAAGUGGAAUGGCUGGUGUAGCGGUGAAAUGCGUAGAUAUCAGUCGGAACACCGGUGUCGAAGGCGGCUUCUUGGGCCGUUUCUGACGCUGAGGCGCGAAAGCCAGGGGAGCGAACGGG
This 254-nucleotide ribosomal RNA is filed under the name uncultured bacterium. Its description in RNAcentral is "partial 16S ribosomal RNA". It matches the Rfam family "Bacterial small subunit ribosomal RNA", at positions 524 to 776 of the family's 1533-position model. The record is from RNAcentral.